This 473-nucleotide ribosomal RNA is filed under the name uncultured bacterium. RNAcentral's name for it is "bacterial SSU rRNA". It matches the Rfam family "Bacterial small subunit ribosomal RNA", at positions 27 to 518 of the family's 1533-position model. The record is from RNAcentral.
GGACGAACGCUGGCGGCGUGCCUAACACAUGCAAGUCGAGCGAGGAGAUCCUCGGGAUGAUCCUAGCGGCGGACGGGUGAGUAACACGUGGGCAACCUGCCUCAUAGAGAGGAAUAGCCUUCCGAAAGGGAGAUUAAUACCUCAUAACAUUGCAGUUUCGCAUGGAACAGCAAUUAAAGGAGCAAUCCACUAUGAGAUGGGCCCGCGGCGCAUUAGCUAGUUGGUGAGGUAACGGCUCACCAAGGCGACGAUGCGUAGCCGACCUGAGAGGGUGAUCGGCCACAUUGGGACUGAGACACGGCCCAGACUCCUACGGGAGGCAGCAGUGGGGAAUAUUGCACAAUGGGGGAAACCCUGAUGCCAGCAACGCCGCGUGAGUGAUGACGGCCUUCGGGUUGUAAAGCUCUGUCUUCAGGGACGAUAAUGACGGUACCUGAGGAGGAAGCCACGGCUAACUACGUGCCAGCCGCGGC